CCUACGGGUGGCUGCAGUGGGGAAUAUUGGACAAUGGGCGAAAGCCUGAUCCAGCCAUGCCGCGUGUGUGAAGAAGGCCUUCGGGUUGUAAAGCACUUUCAGUGGGGAAGAAAGCCUUGGGGCUAAUACCCUCGAGGAAGGACAUCACCCACAGAAGAAGCACCGGCUAACUCCGUGCCAGCAGCCGCGGUAAUACGGAGGGUGCGAGCGUUAAUCGGAAUUACUGGGCGUAAAGCGCGCGUAGGCGGUCUGAUAAGCCGGUUGUGAAAGCCCCGGGCUCAACCUGGGAACGGCAUCCGGAACUGUCAGGCUAGAGUGCAAGAGAGGAAGGUAGAAUUCCCGGUGUAGCGGUGAAAUGCGUAGAGAUCGGGAGGAAUACCAGUGGCGAAGGCGGCCUUCUGGACUGACACUGACGCUGAGGUGCGAAAGCGUGGGUAGCAAACAGGAUUAGAUACCCGGGUAGUC
This 465-nucleotide ribosomal RNA is filed under the name Vreelandella stevensii. RNAcentral's name for it is "partial 16S ribosomal RNA". It matches the Rfam family "Bacterial small subunit ribosomal RNA", at positions 338 to 795 of the family's 1533-position model. The record is from RNAcentral. Lineage: Bacteria; Pseudomonadati; Pseudomonadota; Gammaproteobacteria; Oceanospirillales; Halomonadaceae.